Non-coding RNA from Pelobates cultripes (western spadefoot toad), 553 nucleotides. The record is from the annotation of a GenBank genome assembly. NCBI's taxonomy places the organism in Eukaryota, Metazoa, Chordata, Amphibia, Anura, Pelobatidae.
GUUUAUCUUUCUUUUCAUUUAUUUUCAUAUAUUUACUUUUCAUAUGUGUGAUUUAUGUAGUUGGGACAUUUAUUUAUUGUAUGUUUAUGUACUGAUACGAUCACAGUUAUAGUAUAUACAUUUUAUAUGUUCAUUUUAAAAUUUGGAUUUCGAUUUAAUAUGUAAUUAUAAAUAAAUUGAUGACUUGUAGGACACUGGGUAUAUAUAUACCAAUAUGGACUAAGAUUAAGACAUGCCUCUGAUGAAAUAGGGCAGUACCCUAUGAAACGCGUAAGGCUGUGAAAUCAAUACGAAGAGAAGAGUUGGAAAGAACAAGACUCGGUGAUCUACAGACGUCUCUAUCCACAACACGGCAUCAUUCUGGAGGCUCACCUCUUGAUGUGAGGUCGGAGGUGUAGUGCCAAAGAAUGCGGAUGUCGUCCUCACCGGCUGCUGCAGGACCAACUUGGAAGGGAAAUAUCACCAUCCUCAGCCAUCCAGACGAAUGGUUCAGGUUAUAUGGUCUUUUCACCUUCUCUUACUUCGGAAUAUUUUUGUGGAACAUUAUUUACCC